This is a long non-coding RNA of Poeciliopsis prolifica (blackstripe livebearer), 1011 nucleotides long. RefSeq lists it as uncharacterized. Lineage: Eukaryota; Metazoa; Chordata; Actinopteri; Cyprinodontiformes; Poeciliidae. The transcript is spliced from 4 exons. The record is from RefSeq and is a predicted model, not a curated record.
GGCUACACUCGUCUUCCCUCAUUUCAUGACAGUAAAAAAUAAAAAAUACCGAGAAAUACAUGUAGAAGAAGUUUACGUCACUUCCGGUCGCCAUCUUGAUUCUUACUAAACCAGCCAAAGAAAAACCUUCAUUUGCAGAAUGAAAUAUUGAACAAGUUCAGAGUCUUGUUAAAAGCUGUGUUUGAAAGAGUUUCUGAAAGACUCACAAUCAGCUGACCUACAUCAAUCUGACUUCAGGGCUUCCACCAUUUAGGAGGAUUUGUUGAACUUUCCAACAUUUUCCUCCUACAGUACCUUAAAUUAUCCACCAGAGGGAGACAUUACCAACAGCUUCACAGUUGAGGAACAACAUGGCAGUCAGGGGAUCAAAAAGGACAAAGAAAGAACGAGCUUCCACAUGAGCACCACAAGUAAAAACACAAUGUUGGAGGGAAAAGGUUUGUGAAGGGAAGAACCCAGGUGUUGUUGGACAGACAGGACGAACUGUGGGACGGAUGGAUAGAGACAUGGACAAGAAAGACCAGUCAGGAUAGCCCACCGGUUACUGUUGUAGGAGGGAAUAUGGCCGCCACUCACAGCCACACUUUUGUUGUUGUUGGCUAACAUUGUUUAGGAGGAGAGGAAGAGAAGUAGAUUAACGAAGAAACUGGAAGAAACACUCUACUGCUACGCUAAGACAGCAGGAAACCCGGUGACCAGCGUGUCCGAUUGCUGUUGCAGUACCUGGCGCUGGGAAGUCCAGCUUGGCCCGCCGCAGCUCCGUCAUGGACGCCUGCAGCUGCUCGAUCACAAAGUCGUCCUCAAGGAAGAAAUCUUUGGCCAACGUGACCUGCAGGAACUCCACCAGCUCCUCCAUGGACAGCUUCAACAGGUCUCUAAAAUGCUGGAUGGUGGAAGUGCAGAGAGUGAAGGACUCACCGUGUUGUACAUGGAAUAAGCUGUGAGGACGUGGAAGAGCGCCUGCUGCCUGAAACCCAAACAAUCAUCAUUUAAAAUUUUUAUAUUUUAAGG